UAGAAGAUAUUGUCCACAUACAACAUCAGGCAAAUGCAUAUGAACAUUCAGUAUGGCAACAGAGAGGUGUUACUAGAGACACACACGGUGUAUGGCGCUCAAAUGAAGGACACAUGAUUACACCUGCCGCACUUCUCACCGUCCUUAUUUCAGAUGCGCAUGGGUUUGAACAUUGCGCGAAGGGAGAAAUCAUGAGGAAGAUAAAACAGCAAGGAUACUGGUCUCCGUACUUACAGGCAAUGGUGGAUAAUUUUUGGUCUGAAUGUGAAAUUUGUGCUCAAAAUAAUGCCAGAAAGGGAACAUCGGCACCAAUAGGGCUCAUACCGGUACUAGAAGGGCCUUUCAAACACCUGGUGACUACAUAGAUAUGGUAAAAAGCGUAAAACGAAAAAGGUAUAUGCUGGUAGUAAUAGACAGAUUUAGCAGAUGGGUAGAGGCAACCCCAUCAGCAGACCAAGCUGUGGGGACAGUGAUUAAAUUUUUGACCAAAGAGGUAAUUCCCAGAUUUGGCAUACCAUCUCAGAUUAGCUCUGACAACAGCUCAGCUUUUGUUCAAAAAACAGUGAAAACAGUGUUACAGUAACUGAAUAAAGUAGAGAUUCGGAUGUGUUUAUCACUCUCAUUCACAGGGAAUGGUGGAAAAGGUAAGUAUUACCUUUAAGGCUAAGCUUAACAACAUUUGUGCCGACACUAAACUCGUUUGGGUAGAUGCUCUACCUCUUGUACUAAUGAACUAUCGCAUACAGACUAUCAGAAUUACAUAUCAAACACCGCAUGAAAUGCUUAUGGGUCGACCUAUGUCUGUGCCAUAUCUGAGAGGUCCUUAUGAAGGACUGCCGCUGGAGUAAUUGCAGAUGGAACUGAGAGCAUGUAUGAAAUAACUAACUGCUAUGUAUAAAGCUAUCUAUUCACAGGAACAGAGCAGGGGACCGAGAGUGGAGACAAAUGUUCCAUAGUCAAAUGCUCCAGUGGCUCCUGGAGAACAGGUGUACCUAGUGGUGCUCAAGCUCAGAAGGGAAGGGCCAUACAAGGUUGGCCACCUAAGCCAGAUGAGAUCUCAGAACAACUGCAGCAGGAUGAAACAUAUUCCAGUUCCACAAGUGAGGACAAAGAAGAAUGAUGAGCCAUGCCCUGGGUCUAAACACGCUUCUAAAUGAACCUGGUGCAGAACCAGGUGAUUUCUGGUGAUUUCUUCUACUGGUAACAGGAGUUCAGGAAACCAGGUUAAUGGUGAUAUGGAGUACUACUUCCAAGAUGGAGACACCAAAACACCAGCAGCCUUCCUGAAUGAGCUUACACCUGUAUUGGGGAAUGUCCUGAUAUGUAUUCGUCUAGUUUUUAAGUACUUGACCAGAGUACCUAGUGAGGCUGAUGUUCUCAAUGCUGCUAAUGCUCUGCUGGACUCAAAGAUCAGAAGAGCACAAGCUAUUGAUACACAAACACUGAGUGAUCCUGUGAGCAUACAGAAUGUCAUCUAUGAAAAAAUUGGCAACAACUCCUACAUUAUAAUCUUUGCAUUUCAAAUUAGCAAUGUGACCACCUCCAAGGACCUUCAGCUUAGGAACGGAACAUAUGAUUUAAUCCAAGACACCAUCAACAGCCUGGGUCAUGGGGAUCCUGGAGCCUAUCCCAGGGAGCAUCGGGCACAAGGAGGGAUACACCCUGAACAGGAUGCCAAUCCCUUUUAAAAACCACAUGCCUUUAAAACCACAAUAAACAGCUGUGAUUUGGACAGAAGGGACUACAAAGACCAUCAGAGCAGCUACGUCUAUAGAGGCUGAAUCCCCACAACAAUGUAGAGUAGGAUUUGUACAGUUUAUUCUGGAAGAUGGGAGACAGUGGGAGACAGUUCAGUGUAAAUAGUUCUUUGUCAAAGCCAUGGGACAAAGGACACCAUACAUAACAUACAUCAGAACUGAAUACAGACUCUUUUAAAACCGUUUUCUUUUCCUCCAGGUUUAAUGGUACAACAAUUGAGGCUAAUUCCGAAUACAUCUUUGUGGAAGGUGAAACCAAGUGGACACCAAGUGGAUUUCUUUCUGCAAUACUCAACAUUAGUGGUUUGUCGACCUUCACCACUCCUGCUGCUCAAACCGAACCCCCUGUCCAUGUAGUCCUGAGGCCCACAUUGCAAGCACACAGCAACACCACCACCACUGGAGGAAAUUCUGCAUGGAUCCUGGGAAUCAUUAUCCUCUGCAGUAUAGUCAUUAUUCUAAUACCAUGCUGGAUUCUACUCUGUUGUCUGCUGUGUGGUUGCUGGGCUGGUUUAAGGAGACGCUACAACAGAAGACGGUCCUACAAUGUCCAAUACACAACAUGAAAUGGACUCUUUUAAAAACAGUUAGAGUGUAAAAUAAUCUCUAACUCCAUUAGACUCUAUUUUAUUAAAUAGUUUUUUUUUAUCUGUUUCAUUAUGUAGUUUAUUUUUUAUUUGUUUACCUAUUUAAUUAUUUCAUCAAUUUAAGUCUAUUUUAUUUAAUCUUUGUACAUAGUUAAUUUUAUUUCAACUAUAUACAUAAAAAUGAAGCUACAUAUGGUCUAUUAAAGUGAAUUAUUAAACAGGAUAAUGUAUAUAUCCUGUCCAAACUAAUGUUCUGUUAUGUUGUAAUUUAACUUAUUUAUUAAUUUAACUUAUUUAUUAAAGCUAUUUAUAAUAAAGUUUGUCAAAUAUUGCUUGCUCAAUUGAGAUUAAUCCACACAAUUAAAAUCUGUAUCCUGUGUUUAUAUUUUUCUGAAAAGCUGCUGAGACAGACCGUUGUAAAAAGCGCUAUACAAAUAAAAUUGAAUUGAAAUGUCUAUGAAUGUCCUGUGUUUCACCCCUGAUUAUGUUUGUCAUUUAAACCCCUCGUGUAUCUUUGCACAUCGCGUAGUAUUGCGUGUAUUGUCCUUACCAAGCGGUUACUCCUUGUUUCUCAUUUUUGAUUCCUGUUUAUUGACUUUGUUUCUCGUUUGCCGUUCUGGAUUCUAGCCUUGCCCAGUUUAUGCCUGUUUGUAGAUCGCUUGACCCCUUGCCUGAUUUGACCAUGCUCUUGUAUCAUGAUUUGGAUUUGUUUGCAUGUCUCUCUCAGAUAAAAGUCUUUAAUUACACUUGAAUCCGUCCUAACCUCCAUUACAAGGAUUAUGUGACAGCAGACAAAAGCAUGCAA
Molecule: long non-coding RNA, 3149 nt
Organism: Ictalurus furcatus (blue catfish)
Lineage: Eukaryota; Metazoa; Chordata; Actinopteri; Siluriformes; Ictaluridae
Exons: 6
Source: RefSeq, a predicted model, not a curated record